Molecule: non-coding RNA, 29 nt
Filed under: Homo sapiens (human)
Lineage: Eukaryota; Metazoa; Chordata; Mammalia; Primates; Hominidae
Source: RNAcentral
UGGUGAGUAUGCCUUCAGCGCUCCAUUGU